Molecule: ribosomal RNA, 251 nt
Filed under: uncultured bacterium
Lineage: Bacteria
Description: partial 16S ribosomal RNA
Rfam family: Bacterial small subunit ribosomal RNA
Source: RNAcentral
UACGGGGGGGCAAGCGUUGUUCGGAAUUACUGGGCGUAAAGGCUCGUAGGCGGCCAACUAAGUCAUACGUGAAAUCCCUCAGCUUAACUGGGGAACUGCGUGUGAUACUGGAUGGCUUGGAUUUGGGAGAGGGAUGCGGAAUUCCAGGUGUAGCGGUGAAAUGCGUAGAUAUCGAGAGGACACCUGCGGCGAAGGCGGGAUAGCUGGGCCGACACUGACGCUGAGGCGACGAAAGCCAGGGAGCGAACGGG